This 60-nucleotide transfer RNA is filed under the name Fusarium oxysporum. RNAcentral's name for it is "tRNA-Asp". It matches the Rfam family "tRNA", at positions 7 to 64 of the family's 71-position model. Rfam says of the family: Transfer RNA (tRNA) molecules are approximately 80 nucleotides in length. Their secondary structure includes four short double-helical elements and three loops (D, anti-codon, and T loops). Further hydrogen bonds mediate the characteristic L-shaped molecular structure. tRNAs have two regions of fundamental functional importance: the anti-codon, which is responsible for specific mRNA codon recognition, and the 3' end, to which the tRNAs corresponding amino acid is attached (by aminoacyl-tRNA synthetases). tRNAs cope with the degeneracy of the genetic code in two manners: having more than one tRNA (with a specific anti-codon) for a particular amino acid; and 'wobble' base-pairing, i.e. permitting non-standard base-pairing at the 3rd anti-codon position. Lineage: Eukaryota; Fungi; Ascomycota; Sordariomycetes; Hypocreales; Nectriaceae. The record is from RNAcentral.
GUAGUAUAGUGGUCAGUAUGCAAGCUUGUCACGCUUGAGACCCGGGUUCAAUUCCCGGCG